Molecule: ribosomal RNA, 873 nt
Filed under: Clohiesia corticola
Lineage: Eukaryota; Fungi; Ascomycota; Sordariomycetes
Description: LSU rRNA
Rfam family: Eukaryotic large subunit ribosomal RNA
Source: RNAcentral
AACAGGGAUUGCCCUAGUAACGGCGAGUGAAGCGGCAACAGCUCAAAUUUGAAAUCUGGCUCCGGCCCGAGUUGUAAUUUGCAGAGGAUGGUUUGGGCGCGGCGCCUUCCAAGUCCCCUAGAACGGGGCGCCAUAGAGGGUGAGAGCCCCGUACGGUUGGACGCCUAGCCUGUGUAAAGCUCCUUCGACGAGUCGAGUAGUUUGGGAAUGCUGCUCAAACGGGAGGUAAAUGCCUUCUAAAGCCUAAAUACCCGGCCAGAGACCGAUAGCGCACAAGUAGAGUGAUCGAAAGAUGAAAAGCACUUUGAAAAGAGAGUCAAAAUAGCACGUGAAAUUGUUGAAAGGGAAGCGCUUGUGACCAGACUCGCGCCGGGUUGAUCAUCCAGUGUUCUCACUGGUGCACUCUGCCCGGCUCGGGCCAGCAUCGGUUCUCGCGGGGGGAUAAAGGCGCCGUGAAUGUGGCACUCUCGGGUGCGUUAUAGCGCGGCGCGUAAUACCUUCGCGGGGACCGAGGAUCGCGUUUACGAGGAUGCUGGCGUAAUGGUCAUCAGCGACCCGUCUUGAAACACGGACCAAGGAGUCAAGGUUUUGCGCGAGUGUUUGGGUGUAAAACCCGCACGCGUAAUGAAAGUGAACGUAGGUGAGAGCUUCGGCGCAUCACCGACCGAUCCUGAUGUAUUCGGAUGGAUUUGAGUAUGAGCGUAGUGCCUUGGACCCGAAAGAUGGUGAACUAUGCUUGGAUAGGGUGAAGCCAGAGGAAACUCUGGUGGAGGCUCGCAGCGGUUCUGACGUGCAAAUCGAUUGUCAAAUCUGAGCAUGGGGGCGAAAGACUAAUCGAACCAUCUAGUAGCUGGUUACCGCCGAAGUUUCCUA